This is a long non-coding RNA of Hemicordylus capensis (graceful crag lizard), 458 nucleotides long. RefSeq lists it as uncharacterized. NCBI's taxonomy places the organism in Eukaryota, Metazoa, Chordata, Lepidosauria, Squamata, Cordylidae. The record is from RefSeq and is a predicted model, not a curated record. The transcript has 2 exons.
AGCUGGUUGUGACUGUGUGCCAUCAGCAGUCCCAGUCUUGGUGCAGGCAGAAGACCAGCUCCACUCUAGAUCAAAGUCCAGAUUAUGUCACCCCCGGCCCCUCGGGAAUUGUGAGAACAAGCCCAAUGAUGUGAAAGUAUAGGGCUAAAAGUAUCAUCAAGCCAUGGCUCUUGAGCAAAUAUUUACUAAUUGAUUUCAGACACCUGAGAAGCCUUCAAAAAGAGAGAUUAUCCUCACACCAAAAAGACACAAGGCAACAAAACAAAACAAAAACCAACUACACAACUGUUCUGGACAGGAGGAACCAACAAUGUGUGGUAUCCAGUUGGCAGCAGGAGAGAAGGUCAAGCACCACAAUAAUCAGGAACAUGAAGAUUGCAGGGACAGCGGGAACCAAGGCAGCUGAUACAAUCUACAGACCACAAGAGAUUUAGGAAUAAAUGAGUAAAGAUUUUUAA